GAUGAACGCUGGCGGCGUGCCUAAUACAUGCAAGUCGAGCGAACAGACGCGGAGCUUGCUCCUCUGACGUUAGCGGCGGACGGGUGAGUAACACGUGGAUAACCUACCUAUCAGACUGGUAUAACUUCGGGAAACCGGCGCUAAUACCGUAUAAUAUAUUGAACCGCAUGGUUCAAUAGUGAGAUACGGUUUUGCUGUCUCUUCUAGCUGCAUCUCGGCCGCAUUAGCUAGUUGGUAAGGUAACGGCUUACCACGGCAACGAUGCGUAGCCGAACUGAGAGGCGGGUAGGCCACACUGGAACUGGGACACGGACCAGAGUCCUACGGGACGCAGCAGAAGGGAAUCUUCCGCAGUGGGCGAAAGCAUUACAGAGCAACGCCGAGUGAGUGAUGAAGGUCUUCGGAGCGGAAAAAUCGGUUAUGAGUGAAAAACAAAUGUGGAAGUAACUAUGCACGGCGUGACGGUAACUAAUCAGAAAGCAACGGCUAACUACGUG
Molecule: ribosomal RNA, 497 nt
Filed under: uncultured bacterium
Lineage: Bacteria
Description: partial 16S ribosomal RNA
Rfam family: Bacterial small subunit ribosomal RNA
Source: RNAcentral